This 484-nucleotide ribosomal RNA is filed under the name uncultured bacterium. RNAcentral's name for it is "partial 16S ribosomal RNA". It matches the Rfam family "Bacterial small subunit ribosomal RNA", at positions 30 to 507 of the family's 1533-position model. The record is from RNAcentral.
AUUGAACGCUGGCGGCAGGCCUAACACAUGCAAGUCGAGCGGAUGAAGGGAGCUUGCUCCUGGAUUCAGCGGCGGACGGGUGAGUAAUGCCUAGGAAUCUGCCUGGUAGUUGGGGAUAACGUCCGGAAACGGGCGCUAAUACCGCAUACGUCCUGAGUGAGAAAGUGGGGGAUCUUCGGACCUCACGCUAUCAGAUGAGCCUAGGUCGGAUUAGCUAGUUGGUGGGGUAAAGGCCUACCAAGGCGACGAUCCGUAACUGGUCUGAGAGGAUGAUCAGUCACACUGGAACUGAGACACGGUCCAGACUCCUACGGGAGGCAGCAGUGGGGAAUAUUGGACAAUGGGCGAAAGCCUGAUCCAGCCAUGCCGCGUGUGUGAAGAAGGUCUUCGGAUUGUAAAGCACUUUAAGUUGGGAGGAAGGGCAGUAAGUUAAUACCUUGCUGUUUUGACGUUACCAACAGAAUAAGCACCGGCUAACUUCGUG